Molecule: ribosomal RNA, 1244 nt
Filed under: metagenome
Description: bacterial SSU rRNA
Rfam family: Bacterial small subunit ribosomal RNA
Source: RNAcentral
GCUCACCAAGGCGACGAUCUGUAGCGGGUCUGAGAGGAUGAUCCGCCACACUGGAACUGAGACACGGUCCAGACUCCUACGGGAGGCAGCAGUGGGGAAUUUUGGACAAUGGGGGCAACCCUGAUCCAGCCAUGCUGCGUGAGUGAAGAAGGCCUUCGGGUUGUAAAGCUCUUUCAGCCGGGAAGAAAACGCAUGGGUUAAUACCCUGUGUGGAUGACGGUACCGGAAUAAGAAGCACCGGCUAACUACGUGCCAGCAGCCGCGGUAAUACGCAGGGUGCGAGCGUUAAUCGGAAUUACUGGGCGUAAAGCGUGCGCAGGCGGUUUUGUAAGACAGGCGUGAAAUCCCCGGGCUUAACCUGGGAACUGCGUUUGUGACUGCAAGGCUAGAGUACGGCAGAGGGGGGUGGAAUUCCACGUGUAGCAGUGAAAUGCGUAGAGAUGUGGAGGAACACCAAUGGCGAAGGCAGCCCCCUGGGUCGAUACUGACGCUCAUGCACGAAAGCGUGGGUAGCAAACAGGAUUAGAUACCCUGGUAGUCCACGCCCUAAACGAUGUCAACUAGGUGUUGGGAGGGUAAAACCUUUUAGUACCGGAGCUAACGCGUGAAGUUGACCGCCUGGGGAGUACGGCCGCAAGGUUAAAACUCAAAGGAAUUGACGGGGACCCGCACAAGCGGUGGAUGAUGUGGAUUAAUUCGAUGCAACGCGAAAAACCUUACCUACCCUUGACAUGCCAAGAACUUUCCAGAGAUGGAUUGGUGCCCGAAAGGGAACUUGGACACAGGUGCUGCAUGGCUGUCGUCAGCUCGUGUCGUGAGAUGUUGGGUUAAGUCCCGCAACGAGCGCAACCCUUGUCGUUAAUUGCCAUCAUUUAGUUGGGCACUUUAACGAGACUGCCGGUGACAAACCGGAGGAAGGUGGGGAUGACGUCAAGUCCUCAUGGCCCUUAUGGGUAGGGCUUCACACGUCAUACAAUGGUCGGUACAAAGGGUCGCCAAGCCGCGAGGUGGAGCCAAUCCCAGAAAGCCGAUCGUAGUCCGGAUCGCAGUCUGCAACUCGACUGCGUGAAGUCGGAAUCGCUAGUAAUCGUGGAUCAGAAUGUCACGGUGAAUACGUUCCCGGGUCUUGUACACACCGCCCGUCACACCAUGGGAGCGGGUUCCGCCUGAAGUAGGUAGCCUAACCGCAAGGAGGGCGCUUACCACGGCGGGGUUCGUGACUGGGGUGAAGUCGUAACAAGGUA